This 253-nucleotide ribosomal RNA is filed under the name uncultured bacterium. RNAcentral describes it as "partial 16S ribosomal RNA". It matches the Rfam family "Bacterial small subunit ribosomal RNA", at positions 524 to 776 of the family's 1533-position model. The record is from RNAcentral.
UACGGAGGGUGCAAGCGUUAUCCGGAUUCACUGGGUUUAAAGGGUGCGUAGGUGGGUUGAUAAGUCAGUGGUGAAAUCCCCGAGCUUAACUUGGGAACUGCCAUUGAUACUAUUGAUCUUGAAUACAUUUGAGGCGGGCGGAAUGUGUCAUGUAGAGGUGAAAUUCUUAGAUAUGACACAGAACACCAAUUGCGAAGGCAGCUCGUUAAACUGUAACUGACGCUGAGGCACGAAAGCGUGGGGAUCAAACAGG